AAAGGGGACAGAUCAACGUCAGCAGCAAUACGCAUAAUUGUAGAAUUAAUUACUGAUUUGGUAAUUUAGAUGCUGCCGAUGAUUGCUUCCGGUGUACUUCGCGUAUAAACGAUUUGUUCCGCAGCACUGGGCACGUUCGGUGGAUGUUGGUUUAAAAUUAGUUAAAUGGUAAAUUUUCAUCGCUCACACUUAUCAUUCCGUGAGGUUCUUCUGUAAGGCGAACAAGUAAAACUGAGGCCGACAGCAACUCAGCAGAGUUUUUAGAAAAUGUGCGAAUACUUACCGGCUUUGUGUGAAAUGAUUGCCGCUAUCAUUUUCGGAAACACGGAACCGAUCGAUGAGGAGUACUACAAUUACGAUGACAAUCCGACGUCCACCACUAUAACAUCGAACAACUUAUGAGGCGCAAUGGAUGGAUGAGAGCGCGUGAGAAUUAAAUACGGUUUCACAAUAUGAUGUAUGUUUUUAAUAAAUUAACUAUGUUUUGAAAAGUUUGCAAAA
This is a long non-coding RNA of Anopheles stephensi (Asian malaria mosquito), 501 nucleotides long. RefSeq lists it as uncharacterized. NCBI's taxonomy places the organism in Eukaryota, Metazoa, Arthropoda, Insecta, Diptera, Culicidae. The record is from RefSeq and is a predicted model, not a curated record. The transcript has 2 exons.